RNAcentral lists this ribosomal RNA (2378 nucleotides) under Candidatus Aminicenantota bacterium. RNAcentral's name for it is "partial 23S ribosomal RNA". It matches the Rfam family "Bacterial large subunit ribosomal RNA", at positions 574 to 2925 of the family's 2925-position model. The record is from RNAcentral. Lineage: Bacteria; Candidatus Aminicenantota.
UCGGAGCCUUGCUUCGGCAGGGUGACGGCGUGCCUUUUGCAUAAUGAGCCGGCUAGUUAUUCUAUGCGGCUAGGUUAAGCAUGGAGACAUGUGGAGCCGUAGCGAAAGCGAGUCUGAAUAGGGCGUCGAGUCGUAUGGAAUAGACGCGAAGCUGAGUGAUCUACCCUUGGCCAGGAUGAACUUCGGGUAACACCGGAGGGAGGUCCGAACCGGUGUCGGUUGAAAACGGCUCGGAUGAGCUGAGGGUAGGGGUGAAAGGCUAAUCAAACUCAGUGAUAGCUCGUUCUCUCCGAAAUAGCUUUAGGGCUAGCCUCGCAUGAUUGGUGAGGGAGGUAGAGCACUGGAUGGCCUAGGGGUUCGAAAGAUCUACCGAAUCCAACUAAACUCCAAAUUCCCUCAACCUCAGUGCGGGAGUAAGACUGCGGGGGCUAAGCUCUGUAGUCGAAAGGGAAACAGCCCAGACCGUCAGCUAAGGUCCCUAAAUGCAAGCUAAGUGGGCAAGGAUGUAGAGGUGUUUAGACAACCAGGAGGUUGGCUUAGAAGCAGCCAUCCUUUAAAGAAAGCGUAACAGCUCACUGGUCAAGUGUCUUUGCGCCGACAAUUUAACGGGGCUUAAGCUUGCUACCGAAGCUACGGAUCCUCUAGGGGAUGGUAGGAGAGCAUUCUCAUCUGAUUGAAGCCUCGAUGUGAGUCGGAGUGGACGGAUGAGAAGAGACCCUGCCGGCAUGAGUAGCGAAAUUCCGGCUAAAACCUGGAACGCCGAAAACCUAAGGUUUCCUGAGGAAGGUCAGUCCGCUCAGGGUUAGUCGGUACCUAAGCUGAGGCCGAAAGGCGUAGGCGAUGGACAGCAGGUCAACAUUCCUGCACCACCUGAAGAGCGUUUGUACGAAGGGGGGACGCAGGAGGAUAGGCAUACACACGGAUGGAAAUGUGUGGCCGCCAGGUAGGGGGAGCUUCUAGGCAAAUCCGGAAGCUCAUUAACCCCGAGCACGGCGGGGAAGAUUUCCUUCGGGAUUUCCAACUUGCUGAAUCCAAACUGUCAAGAAAAUCCUCUAAGGAGUUUUUCAGGUGACCGUACCGUAAACCGACACAGGUAGGUGAGGAGAGAAUCCUAAGGCGAACGUGUGAACCCUCUUUUAGGAACUCGGCAAAUUAACCCCGUAACUUUGGAAGAAGGGGUGCCUCGGUAGUGUUAUCUUGCCUUGCGCAAAGGAGCAUGAGGAGGCCGCAGAGAAAUGGCCCAGGCGACUGUUUACUAAAAACACAGGUCUCUGCAAAGUCAAAAAAACGACGUAUAGGGACUGACGCCUGCCCGGUGCCGGAAGGUUAAGAGGAGGGGUUAGCCCUCGGGCGAAGCUCUGAAUCGAAGCCCCGGUAAACGGCGGCCGUAACUAUAACGGUCCUAAGGUAGCGAAAUUCCUUGUCGGGUAAGUUCCGACCCGCACGAAGGGCGUAACGACUUGGGCACUGUCUCAAAGAGGGGCACGGCGAAAUUGUAGCACCGGUGAAGAUGCCGGUUACCUGCCGCUGGACGGAAAGACCCCGGCACCUUAACUGCAUCUUGGCAUUGGAUUUCGGGUUAGUAUGUGCAGGAUAGGUGGGAGACUAUGAAGUUCCGACGUUAGUCGGGAUGGAGUCAUCGGUGAGAUACCACUCUUACUAUUCUGAGGUUCUAACCUGCAUCCGUAAUCCGGGUGAGGAACAGUGUCAAGUGGGUAGUUUGACUGGGGCGGUCGCCUCCCAAAAUGUAACGGAGGCGUCCUAAGGUUCCCUCAGGCUGUUUGGAAAUCAGCCGUGGAGUAUAAAGGCAUAAGGGAGCUUGACUGUGAGACCGACAAGUCGAUCAGGUAGGAAACUAGGGCUUAGUGAUCCGGCGGUCCUGUAUGGAAGGGCCGUCGCUCAACGGAUAAAAGGUACGCCGGGGAUAACAGGCUAAUAGGGCCCAAGAGCUCAUAUCGACGGCCCUGUUUGGCACCUCGAUGUCGGCUCAUCGCAUCCUGGGGCUGAAGUCGGUCCCAAGGGUUGGGCUGUUCGCCCAUUAAAGCGGUACGUGAGCUGGGUUUAGAACGUCGCGAGACAGUUCGGUCCCUAUCCACGGUAGGCGAAGGAGAUUUGAGGGGGGCUGUUCCUAGUACGAAAGGACCGGAACGGACGAACCUCUAGUGUACCAGUUGUCCCGCCCGGGGCAGCGCUGGGUAGCUACGUUCGGAAGGGAUAACCGCUGAAAGCAUAUAAGCGGGAAGCUUGCCCCAAGAUAAGAUCUCCCACCCUUUCGAGGGCUGAAGGGUCCUUGUAGACUACGAGGUUGAUAGGCUGGAUGUGUAAGUCCGGUGACGGAUUUAGCUAACCAGUACUAAUAGCCCGUGAGGCUUGACCAU